RNAcentral lists this non-coding RNA (28 nucleotides) under Homo sapiens (human). The record is from RNAcentral. Lineage: Eukaryota; Metazoa; Chordata; Mammalia; Primates; Hominidae.
GAGGCCGUUGGUGCUGGUGAAGAGCUGC